AGUGAACGCUGGCGGUAGGCCUAACACAUGCCAGUCGAACGGCAGCACAGUAAGAGCUUGCUCUUACGGGUGGCGAGUGGCGGACGGGUGAGGAAUACAUCGGAAUCUACUUUUUCGUGGGGGAUAACGUAGGGAAACUUACGCUAAUACCGCAUACGACCUACGGGUGAAAGCAGGGGAUCUUCGGACCUUGCGCGAUUGAAUGAGCCGAUGUCGGAUUAGCUAGUUGGCGGGGUAAAGGCCCACCAAGGCGACGAUCCGUAGCUGGUCUGAGAGGAUGAUCGGCCACACUGAACCGGAGACACGGCCAAGACUCCUACGGGAGGCAGCGGUGGGAAAGAUUGGACAAGGGGGGAAAGCUUGACCAACCCAUACCGCGUGGGUGAAGAAGGCCUCGGGUUGUAAAGCCCUUUUGUUGGGAAAGAAAAGCAGCAGGUUAAUACCCCGCUGUUCUGACGGUACCCAAAGAAUAAGCACCGGCUAACUUCGUG
RNAcentral lists this ribosomal RNA (491 nucleotides) under uncultured bacterium. RNAcentral's name for it is "partial 16S ribosomal RNA". It matches the Rfam family "Bacterial small subunit ribosomal RNA", at positions 29 to 507 of the family's 1533-position model. The record is from RNAcentral.